This 274-nucleotide ribosomal RNA is filed under the name uncultured bacterium. Its description in RNAcentral is "partial 16S ribosomal RNA". It matches the Rfam family "Bacterial small subunit ribosomal RNA", at positions 523 to 796 of the family's 1533-position model. The record is from RNAcentral.
AGACGGAGGGUGCUAACGUUGCUCGGAAUUACUGGGCGUAAAGCGCGUGUAGGCGGGUCGGAAAGCGAGAUGUGAAAGCCCUCGGCUCAACCGAGGAAGUGCAUUUCGAACUAUCGACCUUGAGUGCGGGAGAGGGUGGUAGAAUUCCCGGUGUAGAGGUGAAAUUCGUAGAUAUCGGGAGGAAUACCGGUGGCGAAGGCGACUUUCUGGACCAAUACUGACGCUGAGGCGCGAAAGCGUGGGGAGCAAACAGGAUUAGAUACCCCAGUAGUCC